GUGGGGAAUAUUGGACAAUGGGCGAAAGCCUGAUCCAGCCAUGCCGCGUGUGUGAAGAAGGUCUUCGGAUUGUAAAGCACUUUAAGUUGGGAGGAAGGGCAGUAAGUUAAUACCUUGCUGUUUUGACGUUACUGACAGAAUAAGCACCGGCUAACUUCGUGCCAGCAGCCGCGGUAAUACGAAGGGUGCAAGCGUUAAUCGGAAUUACUGGGCGUAAAGCGCGCGUAGGUGGUUAUAUAAGACAGAUGUGAAAUCCCCGGGCUCAACCUGGGAACUGCCUCCAAAACUGCAUGACUAGAGUACGGUAGAGGGUAGUGGAAUUUCCUGUGUAGCGGUGAAAUGCGUAGAUAUAGGAAGGAACACCAGUGGCGAAGGCGACUACCUGGACUGAUACUGACACUGAGGUGCGAAAGCGUGGGGAGCAAACAGGAUUAGAAACCCCUGUAGUCC
Molecule: ribosomal RNA, 450 nt
Filed under: uncultured bacterium
Lineage: Bacteria
Description: bacterial SSU rRNA
Rfam family: Bacterial small subunit ribosomal RNA
Source: RNAcentral